UUGAUCCUGGCUCAGAAUCAACGCUGGCGGCGUGCCUAACACAUGCAAGUCGAACGCGAAAGUCCCGCAAGGGAUCAGUAGAGUGGCAAACGGGUGAGUUACACGUGGGUGACCUGCCUUCGAGUGGGGGAUAACGUCCCGAAAGGGACUCUAAUACCGCAUGACAUCCUGCCUUUGAACAGGUGGAGAUCAAAGCUGGUGAUCGCAAGACCUAGCGCUUGAAGAGGGGCCCGCGUCUGAUUAGCUAGUUGGUGAGGUAACGGCUCGCCAAGGCAACGAUCAGUAUCCGGCCUGAGAGGUCGGACGGACACACUGGGACUGAGACACGGCCCAGACUCCUACGGGAGGCUGCAGUGGGGAAUUGUUCGCAAUGGGCGCAAGCCUGACGACGCAACGCCGUGUGGAGGAUGAAGACCUUCGGGUCGUAAACUCCUUUCGAUCGAGACGAAUGGCUUCCGGGCGAAUAUCCCGGGAGAUUGACGGUACCGAGAGAAGAAGCUCCGGCUAACUCCGUGCCAGCAGCCGCGGUAAUAAGGU
Molecule: ribosomal RNA, 537 nt
Filed under: uncultured Acidobacteriota bacterium
Lineage: Bacteria; Pseudomonadati; Acidobacteriota
Description: bacterial SSU rRNA
Rfam family: Bacterial small subunit ribosomal RNA
Source: RNAcentral